CGCACGGAAACACCGUGUCAGGGGCUGUGCAGCCACGCUAAUGCUACAUUUAGAUGCAAGAAUUUGACAGCUUCAUUACUGUGAUUGUCCCUGAGCACUUAUGUAAGGAAAGAGGCUGUUCUCCCCACCAGCUCCCAGGCCCACAGCAUCUAUGCCUGAGCUCCUCAGCAUUUGGAGAGGAGGUGGCCACUGGUUGUACUGACCCCAGACCACUGUCAUAGGGUAAACAUUCCAGGUAUCAUGGAGAUUGAGGAGUGGGGAAAACAUUCCCACGGUUGAGAAUUUUAAUAUAACAGUUAUAAUAAUUAUGGUAUUUGUGCUACCAUUUAUUGAAUUCCUCUAUGUUAGGCACCUCAUUUCCUCCUCACAACCACUCUGCCAGGCAGAUAUUGUUAUCACCAUUUAACAAGGAAAAGGAUGAGAUUCAGAGAGGCACAGUAACCACGCUUUCAGCUGCGAGGUACAGAACACUCAGCCACAAGUGGCUGAGACGCAUGGAGCCUGCCAGCCUGCUUCUACCUGGAUCCUAUUUGCCACCUUGGAACAGAAGCUGUCUUGUCAAUGUGUGCAAUGAUUACAUUGGGGGAAGAUGGAGAAGCACAGAACAUUUAUCAACAUAUACCAUAUGUUGGGCUAUAAAACAAGUCUUUUUUUUUGAGGAAGAUUAGCCCUGAGCUAACAUCUGCCACCAAUCCUCCUCUUUUUGCUGAGGAAGACUGGCCCUGAGCUAACACCUGUGCCCAUCUUCCUCUAUGCUAUGUCGGAUGCCUACCACAGCAUGACUUGACAAACAGUGCAUAGGUCUGCACCUGGGAUCCGAACCAGCUAACCCCAGGCCACCAAAGUGGGAAGUGUGCACUUAACCACUGUGCCACCGGGCCAGCCCCCAAACAAGUCUUAAUAAAUUUAAAAGAAUUGAAAUCACACAGAGUAUACCUUCUAUGUGACCCAAGUGGAAUUUAGGUAGCAAUAAAUGAUGGAAAGUUAUCCAGAAAAACCCUAAAUUUUUG
RNAcentral lists this long non-coding RNA (1010 nucleotides) under Equus caballus (horse). RNAcentral's name for it is "lncRNA (ENSECAG00000050203.1)". The record is from RNAcentral. Lineage: Eukaryota; Metazoa; Chordata; Mammalia; Perissodactyla; Equidae.